RNAcentral lists this long non-coding RNA (1862 nucleotides) under Brassica napus (rape). RNAcentral's name for it is "long non-coding RNA (BNAP_LNC018576)". The record is from RNAcentral. Lineage: Eukaryota; Viridiplantae; Streptophyta; Magnoliopsida; Brassicales; Brassicaceae.
AAGAACCUUAGUUAAGAAUCACCUAAUUUUCUUGCUCCAAUGGGAGUUUCUUAAUUUAGGUUUCUUAAAAAAAAAAGGUUGGCACAUACAAAAACAUUGGCACAUACAACUGAUCCAACAGAAAGACUUUGCAUCAAUAAAUAAGUACUUUCAAUUCGGGGGAGACGAUAUGCCAGUAGGUGGCGAUCAGAUGAGACAGGGAAUUGAAGCAGGGAGGUGGAAAUGCCAGGUUGACGCAUCUUGGAUCGAAGAUCAGGGCGCUACAGGUCUCGGGUUUGUGCUACUAGAUGAUGGAAGAUCCACCCUGUUCGGGGUCAAGGGUAACAUCAGCUCGGUUUCACCUCUCCAUGCGGAAGCAGAAGGCAUAAUCUGGACGAUGCAGGAGAUUCUUAAAAGUGGGAGAAGAGAGAUUCAAAUUCUGUCGGAUUGCGAACAACUAGUGAAGAUCAUACUAACCGAUAUGGAAUGGCCAGCCUUAGCGCCGGAGCUAGACGAGAUUAAAGCAUUAUCCUUUGAUUUCUCAAGCUUCUCUAUAUCUGCUAUCCCAAGAUCACAGAAUGCAUGUGCGGACAGACUCGCCAAAGGUGGCCGACUACGCAAGCUAAAUCCCUCAGUUAGUGUCUUUGCGCCCAUAUGGCUAGCCCCUGAAGCUAGUCUAACGGCUGCAGAGUAGUUUUUAGAUUCUAUUUCGAUGUCAAAAAAAAAGUACUUUCAAUUCCAAAAGCAUAGAAACAAAUGAUACAAUUGACAAUGAUAUGCCAAAUGGCUGCAAUGCACGGAUAAAAACUUACUUAAGCUGAGAGUACAAAUAGAAAAUAAUUAGGAAAGAGCUUCAAAUUCCCUCUCAGAACAGCCUACGAUAAAAUAUUGAAUACUAUUAUUGUUUUAAAGAUUUAGAUAUCAAGCAGUCAUCAGGCAAACUUGUAUCUCAAAUCCAGUCAAUUCAUGGAAAGGAUUAAAGCAUAUGGUCUGAAGUAUUUAUCCUUACCCCAACUAAAUGCAAAAGAGAAAGAGAAGGAUCAAAGGCAAUGCUUGACUUAUCCUUCUCGUUUUGAAAAAAAUUCCUAGGAAAACAUACAAAGUAUCUUGUUGAAGCCACAAAGCAGAAUGUAUCAUACAUUCAUUCCUUAGAAACUCGGUACCCCGACUAACGGAAUCCAUGAGACCAGGCAAGGAAUGAGAAAUUAGACAAACCAAACAAAAAAAGCAAGGUUCUGAGACGGCUACAAGAAGCGCUAAUCAGACCAAAUAUCCUAAAGAGGUGCCAAUAAUUUGAAAGAAAUAUCUUCAAUUACACAUCAAGCUUCCCACAAAAUCAAUUCAAAACCAUUGCACGUCUCUCAUCUACAUCUGUAACAAUCAGAUCAAAUCCAUCUCCCAAUUCCCGAAAUCAGAAAUCGAAAUUGCAAUUCCUAUCCAAUCUCUAACGAAGACCUCGGGGAAGCUAAAAUCUGACUACCAUCCCAGUCACAUCACAAAGUAGAAUCUCAAGAGUCAAAGCCGUAAACAAUCUUAAAAACGAAAUUGAAAUCGAUUCUUACUGUUUUGGAGAUCAACACGAACCUGAGGAGAAGCGUGAAGAAACGAGGCGGCGCCGAUCUUCCUCCAAGACGGAGCUCCAACGCCGUCGACGUUUCUCCUCGACGGAGAACACGAGAGAAGAUGAGAGAAGAGGAGAGGAAGAAAAGAAAAGUUUGAAAGAAAAAAAAAAACCCUAGAAGCUGACACGUGUUAUAAGAAACUCUUCUAUGAUCGGUAACAAAAAAUUAUUAACUAAGGAUCGAUUAUAAGUUUUUAAUUUAGUUUCCAUUUAAUUAAUUGUCUUAUUUUCUUUAAAAAUUCAUCUAAGAAACUGCGAUGAU